UUGAUUCUGUUGGAGGUUUGAUGACCUUUGUAUUUGUGACAUCAACUGAUGUGUAUCUGUGAUCAAUCUACAUAGUGUAACUGAGUCUGAGUUAUUUAUGAUUUCAGAAAGAGGAAAUUAAGUCUUGUGAAGAACGGGUAAAGAAACUUCUUGAGGUAAUUCCACCUAAAGGAAAGGAGUUUCUUCACUGCAUUGAACAUAUACUGGAAAGGGAAAAGAAUUGGGUUUGGUGGAAACGUGAUGGUUGCCCCCCAUUUGAAAAGCAACCAAUAGAAAAGAAAACAGGUCAAGAUGGAGUAAAAAGACGGAGGCCACGGUGGAGACUGGGAAAUAAAGAACUCUCUCAGUUGUGGAAGUGGGCAGAUCAGAAUCCUGUAUACUUCAUAUACUGCAUAUGCUUUCUGGUUAUUUGUAGGCAGAAAUUUUAGUUUAUUUGUAUGUCUGUAAAUGAGCACCCAAAAAAGAGAGAGAGAGAGAGAGAGAGAGAGAGAGAG
Long non-coding RNA from Macadamia integrifolia, 494 nucleotides. RefSeq lists it as uncharacterized. NCBI's taxonomy places the organism in Eukaryota, Viridiplantae, Streptophyta, Magnoliopsida, Proteales, Proteaceae. The record is from RefSeq and is a predicted model, not a curated record. The transcript is spliced from 4 exons.